This is a non-coding RNA of Phascolarctos cinereus (koala), 584 nucleotides long. Lineage: Eukaryota; Metazoa; Chordata; Mammalia; Diprotodontia; Phascolarctidae. The record is from RefSeq and is a predicted model, not a curated record.
UACUCAGUCGUAACCGUAAGUGACUGAAGCUCUAUAAGGAUCUUUUGGGUGAAGCGCUGCAUGGGAACUGAUAUAACUAUGCUGAGAACAUGUGACUAAGGCUUGGAAUAUAGCAAAUUCUGGGAAGAGGUAGAAAUUUCCAGAAAUGGAGAAUCAAAAGCUGAUUUCUAUUCAGGCAAAUCCACAAUGAUCCACAACUCCUAGAUUACAAAUGGAUGCUGUUCCAGCAAGAGAGUGGAACAGAGUGCUAAAAGUUUUUUUCAUUCUCUGAGAGCCAUUGAUAGGAGUUCUAGUAGCAAGAGGACUGGAUGUUCUUUCACAGUUAUCACUCUGUUUUGGCCUCCAGCUCUGCCCCAUGGAUAAUGAUGCUAAUAGAGAACCUGGCAGGUUGACUCACAUUAAAACAUGCUGGAUCCAUGAUCUCAUCAAUGAUUUUGACAUUCUUUACUUCUUGAUCAUGAAAUUACACAUUACAUUGGAUUUUGCUUCUCAAACCAACAUUAUGAGCAGCUAUUGGACGGCGAAGAGACUCAAAACCAUACCAUAUGAGGACUGGAUGAAGAAACUGAGGAAAUUUAGCCUCA